GACGAACGCUGGCGGCGUGCCUAAUACAUGCAAGUAGAACGCUGAAGGAGGAGCUUGCUUCUCUGGAUGAGUUGCGCACGGGUGAGUAACGCGUAGGUAACCUGCCUGGUAGCGGGGGAUAACUAUUGGAAACGAUAGCUAAUACCGCAUAAGAGUAGAUGUUGCAUGACAUUUGCUUAAAAGGUGCAAUUGCAUCACUACCAGAUGGACCUGCGUUGUAUUAGCUAGUUGGUGAGGUAACGGCUCACCAAGGCGACGAUACAUAGCCGACCUGAGAGGGGGAUCGGCCACACUGGGACUGAGACACGGCCCAGACUCCUACGGGAGGCAGCAGUAGGGAAUCUUCGGCAAGGGACGGAAGUCUGACCGAGCAACGCCGCGUGAGGGAAGAAGGGUUUCGGAUCGUAAAGCUCUGUUGUAAGAGAAGAACGAGUGUGAGAGUGGAAAGUUCACACUGUGACGGUAUCUUACCAGAAAGGGACGGCUAACUACGUG
This 495-nucleotide ribosomal RNA is filed under the name uncultured bacterium. Its description in RNAcentral is "partial 16S ribosomal RNA". It matches the Rfam family "Bacterial small subunit ribosomal RNA", at positions 28 to 507 of the family's 1533-position model. The record is from RNAcentral.